This 511-nucleotide ribosomal RNA is filed under the name Priestia megaterium. RNAcentral describes it as "bacterial SSU rRNA". It matches the Rfam family "Bacterial small subunit ribosomal RNA", at positions 361 to 870 of the family's 1533-position model. The record is from RNAcentral. Lineage: Bacteria; Bacillati; Bacillota; Bacilli; Caryophanales; Bacillaceae.
CUUUUCCGAAGAGAGUCUGACGGAGCACGCCGCGUGAGUGAUGAAGGCUUUCGGGUCGUAAAACUCUGUUGUUAGGGAAGAACAAGUACAAGAGUAACUGCUUGUACCUUGACGGUACCUAACCAGAAAGCCACGGCUAACUACGUGCCAGCAGCCGCGGUAAUACGUAGGUGGCAAGCGUUAUCCGGAAUUAUUGGGCGUAAAGCGCGCGCAGGCGGUUUCUUAAGUCUGAUGUGAAAGCCCACGGCUCAACCGUGGAGGGUCAUUGGAAACUGGGGAACUUGAGUGCAGAAGAGAAAAGCGGAAUUCCACGUGUAGCGGUGAAAUGCGUAGAGAUGUGGAGGAACACCAGUGGCGAAGGCGGCUUUUUGGUCUGUAACUGACGCUGAGGCGCGAAAGCGUGGGGAGCAAACAGGAUUAGAUACCCUGGUAGUCCACGCCGUAAACGAUGAGUGCUAAGUGUUAGAGGGUUUCCGCCCUUUAGUGCUGCAGCUAACGCAUUAAGCACUCC